UACGGAGGAUCCAAGCGUUAUCCGGAAUUACUGGGCGUAAAGAGUUGCGUAGGUGGCAUAGUAAGCGGGUAGUGAAAGCGUGUGGCUCAACCAUACUCACAUUAUCCGAACUGCUAAGCUAGAGGGCGAGAGAGGUUACUGGAAUUCUCAGUGUAGGAGUGAAAUCCGCAGAUAUUGGGAGGAACACCGAUGGCGUAGGCAGGUAACUGGCUCGUCCCUGACACUAAGGCACGAAAGCGUGGGGAGCAAACGGG
RNAcentral lists this ribosomal RNA (254 nucleotides) under uncultured bacterium. RNAcentral describes it as "partial 16S ribosomal RNA". It matches the Rfam family "Bacterial small subunit ribosomal RNA", at positions 524 to 776 of the family's 1533-position model. The record is from RNAcentral.